AGAAUCAACGCUGGCGGCGUGCCUAACACAUGCAAGUCGCACGAGAAAGGGUAGCAAUACCUGAGUAAAGUGGCGCACGGGUGAGUAACACGUGAAUUAUCUACCUCCGAGUGGGGAAUAACUGAGAGAAAUCUUAGCUAAUAUCGCAUAACACUUACGAGUCAAAGCAGCAAUGCGCUUGGAGAGGAGUUCGCGGCCUAUCAGCUAGUUGGUGGGGUAACGGCCUACCAAGGCGACGACGGGUA
Molecule: ribosomal RNA, 245 nt
Filed under: uncultured bacterium
Lineage: Bacteria
Description: partial small subunit ribosomal RNA
Rfam family: Bacterial small subunit ribosomal RNA
Source: RNAcentral